Cyprinus carpio (common carp) is the source of this 500-nucleotide RNA transcript. RefSeq lists it as uncharacterized. The record is from RefSeq and is a predicted model, not a curated record. Lineage: Eukaryota; Metazoa; Chordata; Actinopteri; Cypriniformes; Cyprinidae.
UGAGCUAAACAUAUUCUUGUACAACUGAUAACCCAAGACAUCAAAAUACCAAAGACUAGCUAAAUUCCCCUCAAACCACUGCCCAUUCCUGUAUAUGGUAGACAUUAUCAAAUCAGGAAACAAAGUCCAGCUAUAUAAGCUAACUGUCAUGCAACAGUGUCUCCAAACUUUGUGGCAGCACCUGUAGUGUACGAACAGGAGAAUCACAUUGAUCGCUGAAUCCACUGACACAAGAGAAGGAACGACCAGACACAAUGAAAGUUUGUCUGUACAUCCUGCUACUCUUUAGCCACCUGUUCCUUUAUACUAUAGCUUGGGAUUGUGAAGUGAUACCUGGUACUCUGAAGCGGCUAGGGAUGGUAGGUGGUGUGAACAAUGACAGUUAAGUCUUCCUGUUCCUGGGGACCAAAUCUGAAAGGAUAAGGUCAUCCCUGAAGCACUUUACUGUCGGACCUGCUGGAGAGCUAGGGGCAAAUUCAUCAAAAAAUAUCUUCAGGUUU